Molecule: ribosomal RNA, 292 nt
Filed under: uncultured bacterium
Lineage: Bacteria
Description: partial 16S ribosomal RNA
Rfam family: Bacterial small subunit ribosomal RNA
Source: RNAcentral
GUGGAUUAGAUACCCUAGUAGUCCUAGCCGUAAACGGUGCAUGUUUGCUGUAAAAGGAAUCGACCCCUUUUGUGGCGGAGCUAACGCGUUAAACAUGCCGCCUGGGAAGUACGGUCGCAAGAUUAAAACUCAAAGAAAUUGACGGGGGCCUGCACAAGCGGUGGAGUAUGUGGCUCAAUUCGAUGCAACGCGAAGAACCUUACCUGGCCUUGACAUGUACGUAGUAGAAGGGUGAAAGCCUGACGAGGUAGCAAUACCAGCGUACACAGGUGCUGCAUGGCUGUCGCCUGCU